Molecule: ribosomal RNA, 496 nt
Filed under: uncultured bacterium
Lineage: Bacteria
Description: partial 16S ribosomal RNA
Rfam family: Bacterial small subunit ribosomal RNA
Source: RNAcentral
GACGAACGCUGGCGGCGUGCCUAAUACAUGCAAGUAGAACGCUGAAGCGAGGAGCUUGCUCUUCUUGGAUGAGUUGCGAACGGGUGAGUAAAGCGUAGGUAACCUCCCUUGUAGCGGGGGAUAACUAUUGGAAACGAUAGCUAAUACCGCAUAACAAUGGAUGACACAUGUCAUUUAUUUGAAAGGGGCAAUUGCUCCACUACAAGAUGGACCUGCGUUGUAUUAGCUAGUAGGUGAGGUAAUGGCUCACCUAGGCGACGAUACAUAGCCGACCUGAGAGGGUGAUCGGCCACACUGGGACUGAGACACGGCCCAGACUCCGCGGGAGGGAGCCGUAGGGAAUCUUCGGCAAUGGGGGCAAACCGGACCGAGGAACGCCGGGUGAGUGCAGAAGGUUUUCGGGUCGUAAAGCUCUGGUGGUAGUCAAGAAAGGAUGUGAGUGUGGAAAGUUCACACUGUGACGGUAGCUUACCAGAAAGCGACGGCUAACUACGUG